CCUACGGGUGACAGCAGUGAGGAAUAUUGGUCAAUGGGCUUACGCCUGAACCAGCCAAGUCGCGUGAGGGAAGACUGCCCUAUGGGUUGUAAACCUCUUUUGUCAGGGAGCAACGCCGGCUACGUGUAGCCGGACUGAGAGUACCUGAAGAAAAAGCAUCGGCUAACUCCGUGCCAGCAGCCGCGGUAAUACGGAGGAUGCGAGCGUUAUCCGGAUUGAUUGGGUUUAAAGGGUGCGUAGGCGGAAUGCCAAGUCAGCGGUAAAAUCGCGGGGCUCAACCUCGCUCCGCCGUUGAAACUGGCGUUCUUGAGUGGGCGAGAAGUAUGCGGAAUGCGUGGUGUAGCGGUGAAAUGCAUAGAUAUCACGCAGAACUCCGAUUGCGAAGGCAGCAUACCGGCGCCCAACUGACGCUGAAGCACGAAAGCGUGGGUAUCGAACAGGAUUAGAUACCCUUGUAGUC
RNAcentral lists this ribosomal RNA (460 nucleotides) under uncultured bacterium. RNAcentral describes it as "partial 16S ribosomal RNA". It matches the Rfam family "Bacterial small subunit ribosomal RNA", at positions 338 to 795 of the family's 1533-position model. The record is from RNAcentral.